GCAAACUUGGUCAUUUAGAGGAAGUAAAAGUCGUAACAAGGUUUCCGUAGGUGAACCUGCGGAAGGAUCAUCAGUGGGGGAGUGUGGGGGGGUAUUGUAUAUAUAUCCUCCCACCCAACCUUGUGUGAACCGUGUCUUGUGUGUUGGUGGGGGGGGUGUGUCACAGCCGCUCACCACCAUCUCUAAUAUUAUCUCUUAACACCUUUGUCUAAGCUUGUCCACACAAAUACACACAACUUUUAACAAUGGAUCUCUUGGCUCUCGCAUCGAUGAAGAACGCAGC
Molecule: unclassified non-coding RNA, 283 nt
Filed under: uncultured fungus
Lineage: Eukaryota; Fungi
Description: partial contains small subunit ribosomal RNA, internal transcribed spacer 1, and 5.8S ribosomal RNA
Rfam family: Eukaryotic small subunit ribosomal RNA (bases 1-73)
Source: RNAcentral